AUUGAACGCUGGCGGCAGGCCUAACACAUGCAAGUCGAGCGGUAGAGAGGUGCUUGCAUCUCUUGAGAGCGGCGGACGGGUGAGUAAUGCCUAGGAAUCUGCCUAGUGGUGGGGGAUAAACGUUCGGAAACGGACGCUAAUACCGCAUACGUCCUACGGGAGAAAGCGGGGGAUCUUCGGACCUCGCGCCAUUAGAUGAGCCUAGGUCGGAUUAGCUAGUUGGUGAGGUAAUGGCUCACCAAGGCGACGAUCCGUAACUGGUCUGAGAGGAUGAUCAGUCACACUGGAACUGAGACACGG
This 300-nucleotide ribosomal RNA is filed under the name uncultured bacterium. RNAcentral describes it as "bacterial SSU rRNA". It matches the Rfam family "Bacterial small subunit ribosomal RNA", at positions 30 to 329 of the family's 1533-position model. The record is from RNAcentral.